AACAAUGUCUUUAUAUAAAAUAGACGCCCAGAGUCACACCUCUCCCCAAAAACGUGGGAUCAGGCGUGCUCGCGGUAGAUCUUAGAAUAACGCAGGUAAUUAAUUUUACUCUUGAGUACCCUCCGUCUAGUAUGUAACACCUUUCAGGUUCAUAC
The sequence is a small nucleolar RNA, 155 nucleotides long. It matches the Rfam family "Small nucleolar RNA snR11".